GCAAGUCGAACGGUAACAGGAAACAGCUUGCUGUUUCGCUGACGAGUGGCGGACGGGUGAGUAAUGUCUGGGAAACUGCCUGAUGGAGGGGGAUAACUACUGGAAACGGUAGCUAAUACCGCAUAACGUCGCAAGACCAAAGAGGGGGACCUUCGGGCCUCUUGCCAUCGGAUGUGCCCAGAUGGGAUUAGCUAGUAGGUGGGGUAACGGCUCACCUAGGCGACGAUCCCUAGCUGGUCUGAGAGGAUGACCAGCCACACUGGAACUGAGACACGGUCCAGACUCCUACGGGAGGCAGCAGUGGGGAAUAUUGCACAAUGGGCGCAAGCCUGAUGCAGCCAUGCCGCGUGUAUGAAGAAGGCCUUCGGGUUGUAAAGUACUUCUCAGCGGGGAGGAAGGGAGUAAAGUUAAUACCUUUGCUCAUUGACGUUACCCGCAGAAGAAGCACCGGCUAACUCCGUGCCAGCAGCUGCGGUAAUACGGAGGGUGCAAGCGUUAAUCGGAAUUACUGGGCGUAAAGCGCACGCAGGCGGCUUGUUAAGUCAGAUGUGAAAUCCCCGGGCUCAACCUGGGAACUGCAUCUGAUACUGGCAAGCUUGAGUCUCGUAGAGGGGGGUAGAAUUCCAGGUGUAGCGGUGAAAUGCGUAGAGAUCUGGAGGAAUACCGGUGGCGAAGGCGGCCCCCUGGACGAAGACUGACGCUCAGGUGCGAAAGCGUGGGGAGCAAACAGGAUUAGAUACCCUGGUAGUCCACGCCGUAAACGAUGUCGACUUGGAGGUUGUGCCCUUGAGGCGUGGCUUCCGGAGCUAACGCGUUAAGUCGACCGCCUGGGGAGUACGGCCGCAAGGUUAAAACUCAAAUGAAUUGACGGGGGCCCGCACAAGCGGUGGAGCAUGUGGUUUAAUUCGAUGCAACGCGAAGAACCUUACCUGGUCUUGACAUCCACAGAACUUUCCAGAGAUGGAUUGGUGCCUUCGGGAACUGUGAGACAGGUGCUGCAUGGCUGUCGUCAGCUCGUGUUGUGAAAUGUUGGGUUAAGUCCCGCAACGAGCGCAACCCUUAUCCUUUGUUGCCAGCGGUCCGGCCGGGAACUCAAAGGAGACUGCCAGUGAUAAACUGGAGGAAGGUGGGGAUGACGUCAAGUCAUCAUGGCCCUUACGACCAGGGCUACACACGUGCUACAAUGGCGCAUACAAAGAGAAGCGACCUCGCGAGAGCAAGCGGACCUCAUAAAGUGCGUCGUAGUCCGGAUUGGAGUCUGCAACUCGACUCCAUGAAGUCGGAAUCGCUAGUAAUCGUGGAUCAGAAUGCCACGGUGAAUACGUUCCCGGGCCUUGUACACACCGCCCGUCACGCCAUGGGAGUGGGUUGCAAAAGAAGUAGGUAGCUUAACCUUCGGGAGGGCGC
This 1407-nucleotide ribosomal RNA is filed under the name Shigella sonnei. Its description in RNAcentral is "bacterial SSU rRNA". It matches the Rfam family "Bacterial small subunit ribosomal RNA". The record is from RNAcentral. Lineage: Bacteria; Pseudomonadati; Pseudomonadota; Gammaproteobacteria; Enterobacterales; Enterobacteriaceae.